RNAcentral lists this ribosomal RNA (207 nucleotides) under uncultured bacterium. Its description in RNAcentral is "partial 16S ribosomal RNA". It matches the Rfam family "Bacterial small subunit ribosomal RNA", at positions 568 to 774 of the family's 1533-position model. The record is from RNAcentral.
CACGUAGGCGGAUAUUUAAGUCAGGGGUGAAAUCCCAGAGCUCAACUCUGGAACUGCCUUUGAUACUGGGUAUCUUGAGUAUGGAAGAGGUAAGUGGAAUUCCGAGUGUAGAGGUGAAAUGCUUAGAUAUGACAUAGAACACCCAUUGCGAAGGCAGCUUACUACGGAUAUAUUGACACUGAGGCACGAAAGCGUGGGGAUCAAACA